RNAcentral lists this long non-coding RNA (732 nucleotides) under Salvia miltiorrhiza (redroot sage). Its description in RNAcentral is "long non-coding RNA (SMIL_LNC001788)". Lineage: Eukaryota; Viridiplantae; Streptophyta; Magnoliopsida; Lamiales; Lamiaceae. The record is from RNAcentral.
UAUAAGUAUUGAACAUUAGAGGAAGUCUCAUGCUGUGGUAGAUCCAUGCAUGUAUAUUUGAGAGCGCGACAAAUAAUUACAUAAAUAUAAAAAUAAAUAUAUUUAAUAUUAAAAUUAGAAAAACAUCUCUCUUAAUUAAAUGACCAAAUAACUAUUUAAAAAUGGAUCACUCAUGAUAUUUCACAAUUUAUUCUUGAUAUAAGUCAAUUCGAAAUACAUUCUCUCUACACUCGCAAUAUCAUUAAUCGAAAUAAUCAAUACCAAUUUAGUAAGUAAAAAUAUUAAAGAAUUAAGUCAUAAGUGUCUACUAAUUUCAACAAAUUUUCAUUCUGAAUCCGCCACUGGUCACAUGCAACCUAGGCCAGACAAAUUGGAACUACGAAAAAGCUUAAAGUAGUAAACGACUUCUAAACAGUCGUUGCAACACUCGUCGAAAAAAAUAAAUAAUAUGGAUAUGCUAUAUAAAAGCAUCAUAAAUAAAUGAAGCCAAAAUAAAACAAAACAAAAUAGUAAUAGGAUAUUUUUAGUGGAUAAACUUUUGACUCCUUGAAUCUUUAUUGGGUAUUCUGUUAUAGUAGUUAAGUAGACAGGUGGCAAUCUGAUUCUAAUUUUAGCAAAGGGACAAAAAUUAAGAAAGGCAGCUUGACCGGGUUUAAUACACGGAUGACAGAUAAUCUGGUGUUUUCCCCACGGAAACGUGUGAUCCACGUGCACAUUCUAAAACCCUCCUCC